UGCCAGCAGCCGCGGUAAUACGGGGGGUGCAAGCGUUGUCCGGAAUCACUGGGCGUAAAGGGCGUGUAGGCGGAUAGUUAAGUCAGAUGUAAAAGUCCAUGGCUCAACCAUGGUUUGUCAUCUGAAACUGGCUAUCUUGAGUUCGAGAGAGGAUAGUGGAAUUCCAGGAGUAGCGGUGAAAUGCGUAGAUAUCUGGAAGAACACCUGAUGCGAAGGCGGCUAUCUGGCUCGCAACUGACGCUGAGGCGCGAAAGCGUGGGGAGCAAACAGGAUUAGAUA
Molecule: ribosomal RNA, 279 nt
Filed under: uncultured bacterium
Lineage: Bacteria
Description: partial 16S ribosomal RNA
Rfam family: Bacterial small subunit ribosomal RNA
Source: RNAcentral